Molecule: ribosomal RNA, 554 nt
Filed under: uncultured bacterium
Lineage: Bacteria
Description: partial 16S ribosomal RNA
Rfam family: Bacterial small subunit ribosomal RNA
Source: RNAcentral
UAGGGAAUCUUCCACAAUGGACGCAAGUCUGAUGGAGCAACGCCGCGUGAGUGAAGAAGGUUUUCGGAUCGUAAAGCUCUGUUGUUGGUGAAGAAGGAUAGAGGCAGUAACUGGUCUUUAUUUGACGGUAAUCAACCAGAAAGUCACGGCUAACUACGUGCCAGCAGCCGCGGUAAUACGUAGGUGGCAAGCGUUGUCCGGAUUUAUUGGGCGUAAAGCGAGCGCAGGCGGAAUGAUAAGUCUGAUGUGAAAGCCCACGGCUCAACCGUGGAACUGCAUCGGAAACUGUCAUUCUUGAGUGCAGAAGAGGAGAGUGGAACUCCAUGUGUAGCGGUGGAAUGCGUAGAUAUAUGGAAGAACACCAGUGGCGAAGGCGGCUCUCUGGUCUGCAACUGACGCUGAGGCUCGAAAGCAUGGGUAGCGAACAGGAUUAGAUACCCUGGUAGUCCAUGCCGUAAACGAUGAGCGCUAGGUGUUGGGGACUUUCCUGUUCUCAGUGCCGCAGCAAACGCAUUAAGCGCUCCGCCUGAGGAGUACGACCGCAAGGUUGAAAC